UACGUAGGGGGCAAGCGUUGUCCGGAAUUAUUGGGCGUAAAGCGCGCGCAGGCGGCCGUGUAAGUCUUGUGUUUAACCCCGGGGCUCAACCUCGGGACGCACGGGAAACUGGACGGCUUGAGUGCAGGAGAGGAAAGCGGAAUUCCACGUGUAGCGGUGAAAUGCGUAGAGAUGUGGAGGAACACCAGUGGCGAAGGCGGCUUUCUGGCCUGUAACUGACGCUGAGGCGCGAAAGCGUGGGGAGCGAACAGG
Molecule: ribosomal RNA, 252 nt
Filed under: uncultured bacterium
Lineage: Bacteria
Description: partial 16S ribosomal RNA
Rfam family: Bacterial small subunit ribosomal RNA
Source: RNAcentral